Molecule: ribosomal RNA, 305 nt
Filed under: uncultured bacterium
Lineage: Bacteria
Description: bacterial SSU rRNA
Rfam family: Bacterial small subunit ribosomal RNA
Source: RNAcentral
UCCUACGGGAGGCAGCAGUGAGGAAUAUUGGUCAAUGGGCGGGAGCCUGAACCAGCCAAGUCGCGUGAAGGAAGAAGGUACUUAGUAUUGUAAACUUCUUUUGUCGGGGAACAAAGGCGGAGACGCGUCUCCGGAUGAGUGUACCCGAAGAAAAAGCAUCGGCCAACUCCGUGCCAGCAGCCGCGGUAAUACGGAGGAUGCGAGCGUUAUCCGGAUUUAUUGGGUUUAAAGGGUGCGCAGGCGGGAGGUCAAGUCAGCGGUAAAAUGUCGGGGCCCAACCCCGGGCGGCCGGUGAAACUGGUGUU